UUUAAUGAGAGUUUGAUCCUGGCUCAGGACGAACGCUGGCGGCGUGCCUAAUACAUGCAAGUAGAACGCUGAGGUUUGGUGUUUACACUAGACUGAUGAGUUGCGAACGGGUGAGUAACGCGUAGGUAACCUGCCUCAUAGCGGGGGAUAACUAUUGGAAACGAUAGCUAAUACCGCAUAAGAGUAAUUAACACAUGUUAGUUAUUUAAAAGGAGCAAUUGCUUCACUGUGAGAUGGACCUGCGUUGUAUUAGCUAGUUGGUGAGGUAAAGGCUCACCAAGGCGACGAUACAUAGCCGACCUGAGAGGGUGAUCGGCCACACUGGGACUGAGACACGGCCCAGACUCCUACGGGAGGCAGCAGUAGGGAAUCUUCGGCAAUGGACGGAAGUCUGACCGAGCAACGCCGCGUGA
RNAcentral lists this ribosomal RNA (413 nucleotides) under Streptococcus agalactiae. RNAcentral describes it as "bacterial SSU rRNA". It matches the Rfam family "Bacterial small subunit ribosomal RNA", at positions 1 to 404 of the family's 1533-position model. Lineage: Bacteria; Bacillati; Bacillota; Bacilli; Lactobacillales; Streptococcaceae. The record is from RNAcentral.